ACGAAGGUGGCAAGCGUUGUUCGGAUUCACUGGGCGUACAGGGUGUGUAGGCGGUUUGGUAAGCCCUCUGUGAAAGCUUCGGGCCCAACCCGGAAAGCGCAGGGGGGACUGCCAGGCUAGAGGACGGGAGAGGAGCGCGGAAUUCCCGGUGUAGCGGUGAAAUGCGUAGAGAUCGGGAGGAAGGCCGGUGGCGGAGGCGGGUUGCUGGGCUGACACUGACGCUGAACUGCGAAAGCUAGGGGAGCGAACGGGA
RNAcentral lists this ribosomal RNA (253 nucleotides) under uncultured prokaryote. Its description in RNAcentral is "partial 16S ribosomal RNA". It matches the Rfam family "Bacterial small subunit ribosomal RNA", at positions 525 to 777 of the family's 1533-position model. The record is from RNAcentral.